This 427-nucleotide ribosomal RNA is filed under the name uncultured Ramlibacter sp. Its description in RNAcentral is "bacterial SSU rRNA". It matches the Rfam family "Bacterial small subunit ribosomal RNA", at positions 355 to 774 of the family's 1533-position model. The record is from RNAcentral. Lineage: Bacteria; Pseudomonadati; Pseudomonadota; Betaproteobacteria; Burkholderiales; Comamonadaceae.
UGGGGAAUUUUGGACAAUGGGCGCAAGCCUGAUCCAGCCAUUCCGCGUGCAGGAUGAAGGCCCUCGGGUUGUAAACUGCUUUUGUACGGAACGAAACGCGCCGGGUUAAUACCUCGGCGUAAUGACGGUACCGUAAGAAUAAGCACCGGCUAACUACGUGCCAGCAGCCGCGGUAAUACGUAGGGUGCAAGCGUUAAUCGGAAUUACUGGGCGUAAAGCGUGCGCAGGCGGUGAUGUAAGACGGAUGUGAAAUCCCCGGGCUCAACCUGGGAACUGCAUUUGUGACUGCAUCGCUGGAGUGCGGCAGAGGGGGAUGGAAUUCCGCGUGUAGCAGUGAAAUGCGUAGAUAUGCGGAGGAACACCGAUGGCGAAGGCAAUCCCCUGGGCCUGCACUGACGCUCAUGCACGAAAGCGUGGGGAGCAAACA